This 208-nucleotide unclassified non-coding RNA is filed under the name Hevea brasiliensis (rubber tree). The record is from RNAcentral. Lineage: Eukaryota; Viridiplantae; Streptophyta; Magnoliopsida; Malpighiales; Euphorbiaceae.
UGAUAGUGAGCUACUUGAGUGAUGUUAAAUAUGUUCUGCAGAUAAGGGACUUGAAGUCAGGUUCCUUGUUGCAUCAGCUACCCAUCGAUAUUGGCUCAGUUUAUGGAAUUUCUGCUAGGCGUGAAGAUAGUCUAAUUUUCAUAGGAUUUACUAGCUUUCUUACGCCUGGAAUUAUUUAUCAGUGUAACUUGGAGACAGGGACUCCAGA